GUUAGCUUUAACCAAAAAAAACUGAGACAGUUCACGGUAUUUUCAUUUUGUUACACGAAGGUGAAGGAAGAAGCCGGUUUCGACUGCAAACCAAUCACGUUGAUGCUGAUUCAGGAGCAGGGACCGCAGUGGAUUCGCUUUAUCUUCUUAGCCAAAGUCACCGGCGGGGAAAUAAAAACGCUGUCGGCCGCAGACCAGGAGUCUCUGCAGGCGUCCUGGGGGGACAGACACUCUGUCCUCCCUCUCUGAGGGGACGGGACAUCGGACUCAAGUACCUUCAGGCUCCUUGGCAUCCCGCUACUCUUUCUGUUGAUUUGAGCUCCCGUCACGUGAUGCAGAGAAUGGUCCUGGUCUUCACCAACUAUCGGAACCAGAUUUGGAUUCUACUCAUCAAAGGUACCAAACGCAUUCGAACGCAUCAUUAGCUACGAGAAAGUUGCGUUCUCAUCUCACGUCGUGACAUCGCGACUUUAACUACGUCACUUAUUUUGUUGACACUUAAUUUACCGAUUCGUCUAUAUUUGUCUCCUGAAACACACCUCGAACCCAGCGUCAACCUUUGUUG
Molecule: long non-coding RNA, 565 nt
Organism: Cynoglossus semilaevis (tongue sole)
Lineage: Eukaryota; Metazoa; Chordata; Actinopteri; Pleuronectiformes; Cynoglossidae
Exons: 3
Source: RefSeq, a predicted model, not a curated record